GAUGAACGCUGGCGGCGUGCUUAACACAUGCAAGUCGAACGAUGAAGCCCAGCUUGCUGGGUGGAUUAGUGGCGAACGGGUGAGUAACACGUGAGUAACCUGCCCUUAACUCUGGGAUAAGCCUGGGAAACUGGGUCUAAUACCGGAUAGGAGCGUCCACCGCAUGGUGGGUGUUGGAAAGAUUUAUCGGUUUUGGAUGGACUCGCGGCCUAUCAGCUUGUUGGUGAGGUAAUGGCUCACCAAGGCGACGACGGGUAGCCGGCCUGAGAGGUGACCGGCCACACUGGGACUGAGACACGGCCCAGACUCCUACGGGAGGCAGCAGUGGGGAAUAUUGCACAAUGGGCGCAAGCCUGAUGCAGCGACGCCGCGUGAGGGAUGACGGCCUUCGGGUUGUAAACCUCUUUCAGUAGGGAAGAAGCGAAAGUGACGGUACCUGCAGAAGAAGCACCGGCUAACUACGUG
This 465-nucleotide ribosomal RNA is filed under the name uncultured bacterium. Its description in RNAcentral is "partial 16S ribosomal RNA". It matches the Rfam family "Bacterial small subunit ribosomal RNA", at positions 28 to 507 of the family's 1533-position model. The record is from RNAcentral.